AACGAACGCUGGCGGCAUGCCUAACACAUGCAAGUCGAACGAGACCUUCGGGUCUAGUGGCGCACGGGGGCGUAACGCGUGGGAACCUGCCCUUAGGUUCGGAAUAACUCCCCGAAAGGGGUGCUAAUACCGGAUAAUGUCUUCGGACCAAAGAUAUAUCGUCUUUGGAUGGGCCCGCGUUGGAUUAGCUAGUUGGUAGGGUAAAAGCCCACCAAGGCGACGAUCCAUAGCUGGUCUGAGAGGAUGAUCAGCCACACUGGGACGGAGGGACGGCCCACACCCCUGCGGGAGGCACCAGGCCCGAAUCCUGCGCAAUGGGCGCAAGCGUGAUUCUGCCAUACCGGGUGAGUGAAGAAGGCCUUCGUGCCGUAUAGCUCUUUUGUUGGUAAAGAAUGUAAGCCUUUUUAUCCCCGGCUGUUCUGACGGUACCCGGAGAAUAAGCCCCGGCUAACUUCGUG
This 458-nucleotide ribosomal RNA is filed under the name uncultured bacterium. Its description in RNAcentral is "partial 16S ribosomal RNA". It matches the Rfam family "Bacterial small subunit ribosomal RNA", at positions 29 to 507 of the family's 1533-position model. The record is from RNAcentral.